This 231-nucleotide unclassified non-coding RNA is filed under the name uncultured fungus. Its description in RNAcentral is "sequence contains ITS1". The record is from RNAcentral. Lineage: Eukaryota; Fungi.
GUUUUGGAUUGUACAUUACGCACAAUAGACAUUCCAUUACAUUCAAGAGUGUGUAAAAGUACUCUCGAGUCACCGGCCCGUGAGGGCACACAAAGGGGCAACUCGGAGUCAUAGGAUGCACAGGUGUGUGGAUAUGCGACCUGUUAACGUGCACAUGUGUCGCCACCAGCACAGAUAACAAAGCCGACUGAAGUUUCUUUAAUGAUCCUUCCGCAGGUUCACCUACGGAAA